GAAAUGCGAGAAGUAAUGUGAAUUGCAGAAUUCAGUGAGUCAUCGAAUCUUUGAACGCACAUUGCGCCCGCCAGUAUUCUGGCGGGCAUGCCUGUUCGAGCGUCAUUUCAACCAUCAAGCCCCCGGGCUUGUGUUGGGGACCCUGCGGCUGCCCGCAGGCCCUGAAAUGCAGUGGCGGGCUCGCUGUCACCCCGGUCGUAGUAGUAUCAUCUCGCUCAGGGCGUGCUGCGGGUUCCGGCCGUAAAACAGCCUUAUUUUCCCCAAGGUUGACCUCGGAUCAGGUAGGAAGACCCGCUGAGUUUAA
RNAcentral lists this unclassified non-coding RNA (304 nucleotides) under uncultured Chaetomiaceae. RNAcentral's name for it is "sequence contains ITS1". The stretch from base 1 to 105 matches the Rfam family "5.8S ribosomal RNA", at positions 50 to 154 of the family's 154-position model. Lineage: Eukaryota; Fungi; Ascomycota; Sordariomycetes; Sordariales. The record is from RNAcentral.